Molecule: non-coding RNA, 135 nt
Organism: Triticum aestivum (bread wheat)
Lineage: Eukaryota; Viridiplantae; Streptophyta; Magnoliopsida; Poales; Poaceae
Source: Rfam
UUUCUACUCCCUCCGUCCAAAAAUACUUGUCAUCAAAAUGGAUAAAAAGAGAUGUAUCUAAAACUAAAAUACGUCUAGAUACAUUUCCUUUUAUCCAUUUUGAUGACAAGUAUUUCCGGACGGAGGGAGUGUUUG